UGGGGAAUAUUGGGCAAUGGGCGAAAGCCUGACCCAGCAACGCCGCGUGAGUGAUGAAGGCCUUCGGGUUGUAAAACUCUUUGGACAGGGACGAAGAAAGUGACGGUACCUGUAGAACAAGCCACGGCUAACUACGUGCCAGCAGCCGCGGUAAUACGUAGGUGGCAAGCGUUGUCCGGAAUUAUUGGGCGUAAAGCGCGCGCAGGCGGACUAGCCAGUCAGUCUUAAAAGUUCGGGGCUUAACCCCGUGAUGGGAUUGAAACUACUAGUCUAGAGUAUCGGAGAGGAAAGUGGAAUUCCUAGUGUAGCGGUGAAAUGCGUAGAUAUUAGGAAGAACACCAGUGGCGAAGGCGACUUUCUGGACGAACACUGACGCUGAGGCGCGAAAGCCAGGGGAGCGAACGGG
RNAcentral lists this ribosomal RNA (406 nucleotides) under Verrucomicrobiota bacterium. RNAcentral's name for it is "Verrucomicrobia bacterium partial 16S ribosomal RNA". It matches the Rfam family "Bacterial small subunit ribosomal RNA", at positions 355 to 776 of the family's 1533-position model. The record is from RNAcentral. Lineage: Bacteria; Pseudomonadati; Verrucomicrobiota.